UCCGCCUUAGUGUAAUGGCAGCACGGCAGCCUUUGGAGCUGUUAGGUCCAGGUUCGAAUUCUGGAGGCGGAGCGA
RNAcentral lists this transfer RNA (75 nucleotides) under Leifsonia xyli subsp. cynodontis DSM 46306. RNAcentral's name for it is "tRNA-Gln". It matches the Rfam family "tRNA". Rfam says of the family: Transfer RNA (tRNA) molecules are approximately 80 nucleotides in length. Their secondary structure includes four short double-helical elements and three loops (D, anti-codon, and T loops). Lineage: Bacteria; Bacillati; Actinomycetota; Actinomycetes; Micrococcales; Microbacteriaceae. The record is from RNAcentral.